RNAcentral lists this ribosomal RNA (253 nucleotides) under uncultured bacterium. RNAcentral's name for it is "partial 16S ribosomal RNA". It matches the Rfam family "Bacterial small subunit ribosomal RNA", at positions 524 to 776 of the family's 1533-position model. The record is from RNAcentral.
UACGAAGGGGGCUAGCGUUGCUCGGAAUCACUGGGCGUAAAGCGCACGUAGGCGGCUUUCUAAGUCAGGGGUGAAAUCCUGGAGCUCAACUCCAGAACUGCCUUUGAUACUGGAGAGCUUGAGUCCGGAAGAGGUGAGUGGAACUCCGAGUGUAGAGGUGAAAUUCGUAGACAUUCGGAAGAACACCAGUGGCGAAGGCGGCUCACUGGUCCGGUACUGACGCUGAGGUGCGAAAGCGUGGGGAGCAAACAGG